UUCGCCCUUAGAGUUUGAUCCUGGCUCAGAGCGAACGCUGGCGGCAGGCUUAACACAUGCAAGUCGAGCGGGCCCUUCGGGGUCAGCGGCAGACGGGUAAGUAACGCGUGGGAACGUGCCCUUCGGUUCGGAAUAACUCAGGGAAACUUGAGCUAAUACCGGAUACGUGCUUAGGCAGAAAGGUUUACUGCCGAAGGAUCGGCCCGCGUCUGAUUAGCUGGUUGGUGAGGUUAUGGCUCACCAAGGCGACGAUCAGUAGCUGGUCUGAGAGGAUGAUCAGCCACACUGGGACUGAGACACGGCCCAGACUCCUACGGGAGGCAGCAGAAGGG
Molecule: ribosomal RNA, 332 nt
Filed under: uncultured Methylobacterium sp.
Lineage: Bacteria; Pseudomonadati; Pseudomonadota; Alphaproteobacteria; Hyphomicrobiales; Methylobacteriaceae
Description: bacterial SSU rRNA
Rfam family: Bacterial small subunit ribosomal RNA
Source: RNAcentral